AAUCAACGCUGGCGGCGUGCCUAACACAUGCAAGUCGCACGAGAAAGUGGAGCAAUCCAUGAGUAAAGUGGCGCACGGGUGAGUAACACGUGAAUAAUCUACCUCCGAGUGGGGAAUAACUGAGAGAAAUCUUAGCUAAUACCGCAUAACACUUACGAGUCAAAGCAGCAAUGCGCUUGGAGAGGAGUUCGCGGCCGAUUAGUUAGUUGGCGGGGUAAGGCCCACCAAGACGAUGAUCGGUAUCCGGCCUGAGAGGGCGCACGGACACACUGGAACUGAAACACGGUCCAGACUCCUACGGGAGGCAGCAGUGGGGAAUUUUGCGCAAUGGGGGAAACCCUGACGCAGCAACGCCGCGUGGAGGAUGAAGUAUCUUGGUACGUAAACUCCUUUCGAUUGGGAAGAUAAUGACGGUACCAAUAGAAGAAGCCCCGGCUAACUUCGUGCCAGCCGCCGACCGU
This 461-nucleotide ribosomal RNA is filed under the name uncultured bacterium. Its description in RNAcentral is "bacterial SSU rRNA". It matches the Rfam family "Bacterial small subunit ribosomal RNA", at positions 32 to 521 of the family's 1533-position model. The record is from RNAcentral.